GAGUUUGAUCUUGGCUCAGGACGAACGCUGGCGGCGUGCUUAACACAUGCAAGUCGAACGGUAAGGCUCCAGCUUGCUGGGGUACACGAGUGGCGAACGGGUGAGUAACACGUGGGUGACCUGCCCUGCACUUCGGGAUAAGCCUGGGAAACUGGGUCUAAUACCGGAUAGGACCGCACCGUGAGGGUGUGGUGGAAAGUUUUUUCGGUGUGGGAUGGGCCCGCGGCCUAUCAGCUUGUUGGUGGGGUAAUGGCCUACCAAGGCGGCGACGGUAGCCGGCCUGAGAGGGUGGACGGCCACAUUGGGACUGAGACACGGCCCAGACUCCUACGGGAGGCAGCAGUGGGGAAUAUUGCACAAUGGGCGGAAGCCUGAUGCAGCGACGCCGCGUGGGGGAUGACGGCCUCGGUUGUAACGUACCUUUCUACC
Molecule: ribosomal RNA, 429 nt
Filed under: uncultured microorganism
Description: bacterial SSU rRNA
Rfam family: Bacterial small subunit ribosomal RNA
Source: RNAcentral